RNAcentral lists this ribosomal RNA (438 nucleotides) under Corilla adamsi. Its description in RNAcentral is "partial 16S ribosomal RNA". It matches the Rfam family "Archaeal large subunit ribosomal RNA", at positions 1920 to 2666 of the family's 2987-position model. The record is from RNAcentral. Lineage: Eukaryota; Metazoa; Mollusca; Gastropoda; Stylommatophora; Corillidae.
AGUCUGGUGAGAUUUUAUCCUAGAUAUUUCCUGCUCUAUGGUUAACUUAUAACUAAAUGGCCGCAGUACUUUGACUGUGCUAAGGUAGCAUAAUAACUUGGCCAAUAAUUAUGGUCUAGAAUGAAUGGAUUUACCUAUGAGAAACUGUCUUAUAUAAGUUGUAUUAAAAUUUUUCAUCAGGUGCAAAUUCCUGAAAAAACAUAAUAGACGAGAAGACCCUUAGAGUUUUAAUUACUAAGUCUAGCACAUUUUUGUUGGGGCAACAUAGGAAUUCUACCUUCCUAAUAUAUCUGCGACAUGCCAAGUAUACUAAGAUUGAAUAUAACUACCUAAGGGAUAACAGCAUAAUCUUUAAUAAGGAUUGUGACCUCGAUGUUGGAUUAGGUUAAAUUGACAUUAAUAAUGUUAAUUAAUGGUUCUGUUCGAACUUAUAUACCU